Molecule: ribosomal RNA, 241 nt
Filed under: Cronobacter turicensis
Lineage: Bacteria; Pseudomonadati; Pseudomonadota; Gammaproteobacteria; Enterobacterales; Enterobacteriaceae
Description: partial 16S ribosomal RNA
Rfam family: Bacterial small subunit ribosomal RNA
Source: RNAcentral
UUAGUCCGGAUUGGAGUCUGCAACUCGACUCCAUGAAGUCGGAAUCGCUAGUAAUCGUGGAUCAGAAUGCCACGGUGAAUACGUUCCCGGGCCUUGUACACACCGCCCGUCACACCAUGGGAGUGGGUUGCAAAAGAAGUAGGUAGCUUAACCUUCGGGAGGGCGCUUACCACUUUGUGAUUCAUGACUGGGGUGAAGUCGUAACAAGGUAACCGUAGGGGAACCUGCGGUUGAUCACCUC